GGGGGUGUAACGGGUUCGACGGGGAUACUGAAGCCAAAGCAGCGAGCAGUGGCGGGAACCACUUAAAUAGCCUAAACUUUAAAAUUAAAAGCUAACGAAAAUUUAGUUUGCGCAGCUUAAUUUAAGCUGCCGUUCUCCUGCGGAGGACUGCGGCUGCAGGCAGAGCGUCAUUUUGCAGUGAACGUGAACGGACAAAGCUUUGCAUCCGUCAUGACUUAUGAAGCUACCAAGUUUCACAGCUUGUUUGCGGACUGUGAUAUGAGGGAAUCUUAACCACAAACUGCGCUCGGAGAAGCUUUUGUGAAUGUAUUUUCGGACAGGAGUUCAACUCUCCUCACCUCCACCA
Molecule: transfer-messenger RNA, 346 nt
Filed under: bovine gut metagenome
Rfam family: transfer-messenger RNA
About the family: Bacterial tmRNA, also known as 10Sa RNA or SsrA, is named for its dual tRNA and mRNA-like properties. Its role is to liberate the mRNA from a stalled ribosome.
Source: RNAcentral